CCUACGGGUGGCAGCAGUGAGGAAUAUUGGUCAAUGGACGAGAGUCUGAACCAGCCAAGUAGCGUGAAGGAUGACUGCCCUAUGGGUUGUAAACUUCUUUUAUAUGGGAAUAAAAUGUUCCACGUGUGGGAUUUUGUAUGUACCAUAUGAAUAAGGAUCGGCUAACUCCGUGCCAGCAGCCGCGGUAAUACGGAGGAUCCGAGCGUUAUCCGGAUUUAUUGGGUUUAAAGGGAGCGUAGGUGGAUUGUUAAGUCAGUUGUGAAAGUUUGCGGCUCAACCGUAAAAUUGCAGUUGAAACUGGCAGUCUUGAGUACAGUAGAGGUGGGCGGAAUUCGUGGUGGAGCGGUGAAAUGCUUAGAUAUCACGAAGAACUCCGAUUGCGAAGGCAGUUCACUGGACUGCAACUGACACUGAGGCUCGAAAGUGUGGGUAUCAAACAGGAUUUGAUACCCGGGUAGUC
This 460-nucleotide ribosomal RNA is filed under the name uncultured bacterium. Its description in RNAcentral is "partial 16S ribosomal RNA". It matches the Rfam family "Bacterial small subunit ribosomal RNA", at positions 338 to 795 of the family's 1533-position model. The record is from RNAcentral.